AUCCAGCCGACGAGUCCCAAGCAGGAUGAAACGCGCGUCCUGGAU
This is a non-coding RNA of Schistosoma margrebowiei, 45 nucleotides long. The record is from Rfam. NCBI's taxonomy places the organism in Eukaryota, Metazoa, Platyhelminthes, Trematoda, Strigeidida, Schistosomatidae.